CGCCUGUUUAUCAAAAACAUGUCUUUUUAGUUAUUUAAUAUAAAGUCUGACCUGCCCACUGAAUUUAUUUUUGAAGGGCCGCAGUAUUUUGACUGUGCAAAGGUAGCAUAAUCAUUAGUCUUUUAAUUGAAGGCUGGUAUGAAUGGUUGGAUGAGGUACAAGCUGUGUCAUAAAAAUUAAUAUUUGAAUUUAACUUUUUAGUCAAAAGGCUAAAAUUUAAUUGAAAGACGAGAAGACCCUAUAGAGCUUUAUAUAAUGAUUAUUUAAUUUAUUAAGAUUUAUUAAAUUUAAUUAUUUUAUUGUAUUUUGUUGGGGUGACAAUAAAAUUUAAAAAACUUUUAUUAUUAUUUUACAUUUAUUUAUGAUUUUAUGAUCCAGUUUUAUUGAUUAUAAAUUUAAGUUACCUUAGGGAUAACAGCGUAAUUUUUUUUGAGAGUUCAUAUCGACAAAAAAGAUUGCGACCUCGAUGUUGGAUUAAGAGUAAUUUUGGGUGUAGAAGUC
This 501-nucleotide ribosomal RNA is filed under the name Simulium arcabucense. RNAcentral describes it as "partial 16S ribosomal RNA". It matches the Rfam family "Bacterial large subunit ribosomal RNA", at positions 1797 to 2563 of the family's 2925-position model. Lineage: Eukaryota; Metazoa; Arthropoda; Insecta; Diptera; Simuliidae. The record is from RNAcentral.